AGCUCCAAUAGCGUACACUAAUAUUGUUGCAGUUAAAAAGCUCGUAGUUGGAUUUCUGAGAGCGCGGGACGGUCUACCCCAUUGUGGGUGGUACCCGACAGGCACUCUCAUCCGGCAGAACACCUGCUCUGCAAUUAACUUUGUGGAGCAGGCACGUCUGCCCAUUUACUUUGAGAAAAACAGAGUGUUCAAAGCAAGCGUACUGCGUUUGUAUGAGUUAGCAUGGGAUAAUGCAAGAGGACUUUGGCCCUCUUUUGUUGGUUGUUCGAGAGCCGAAGUAAUGAUUGAUAGAGAUGGUUGGGGGUCUCGGUAUUCUCGAGCGAGAGGUGAAAUUCAUGGACCUCGGGAAGACCAACUGCUGCGAAGGCGUUGACCAAGGACAUACUCUUUAAUCAAGAAC
RNAcentral lists this ribosomal RNA (400 nucleotides) under phytoplankton environmental sample. RNAcentral describes it as "partial small subunit ribosomal RNA". It matches the Rfam family "Eukaryotic small subunit ribosomal RNA", at positions 587 to 984 of the family's 1831-position model. The record is from RNAcentral.